This 72-nucleotide transfer RNA is filed under the name Camelus bactrianus (Bactrian camel). It matches the Rfam family "tRNA". From Rfam's summary of the family: Transfer RNA (tRNA) molecules are approximately 80 nucleotides in length. The record is from Rfam by way of RNAcentral. RNAcentral also lists the same sequence under 2 other names. Lineage: Eukaryota; Metazoa; Chordata; Mammalia; Artiodactyla; Camelidae.
GGGGCUAUAGUUCAGUGGUAGAGUGUGGGCUUGGUGUGUACAAGGUCCUGGGUUCAAUCCUCAAUGCCUCCA